GAUUGACAGAUGUUAUUUGUUAGGGGAUUUCAGCAAAGUUGUUUUCUACACUUGUGAUUAUCAGCCCUGGAUGCAUAUGGGAAUCUACCAGUUUUGCCGUCACUGAGGAAAUGAAUGUGGGCUGCAGGACUUUUGAAUCAACAUGCAAAGAUUUUGCUUGUCUUGCUAACAGCUGCUCUCCAGCACUGAAGGCCUGAUCUACGUCACUGCUAUCGUCACUCCAAAUUGAAAAGGAAGAUAAAGUAACCCAAAAAUGAAUGAACUUCAUGGAACUAUCC
Molecule: long non-coding RNA, 278 nt
Filed under: Notechis scutatus (mainland tiger snake)
Lineage: Eukaryota; Metazoa; Chordata; Lepidosauria; Squamata; Elapidae
Description: lncRNA (ENSNSUG00000014770.1)
Source: RNAcentral